GAUGAACGCUAGCUACAGGCUUAACACAUGCAAGUCGAGGGGAAACGACAUCGAAAGCUUGCUUUUGAUGGGCGUCGACCGGCGCACGGGUGAGUAACGCGUAUCCAACCUACCCACCACUUGGGGAUAACCUUGCGAAAGUAAGACUAAUACCCAAUGACGUCUCUAGAAGACAUCUGAAAGAGAUUAAAGAUUUAUCGGUGAUGGAUGGGGAUGCGUCUGAUUAGCUUGUUGGCGGGGUAACGGCCCACCAAGGCGACGAUCAGUAGGGGUUCUGAGAGGAAGGUCCCCCACAUUGGAACUGAGACACGGUCCAAACUCCUACGGGAGGCAGCAGUGAGGAAUAUUGGUCAAUGGGCGUAAGCCUGAACCAGCCAAGUAGCGUGCAGGACGACGGCCCUAUGGGGUUGUAAACUGCUUUUAUGCGGGGAUAAAGUAUGGGGACGUGUCCCAUUUUGCAGGUACCGCAUGAAUAAGGACCGGCUAAUUCCGUGCCAGCAG
RNAcentral lists this ribosomal RNA (501 nucleotides) under uncultured bacterium. Its description in RNAcentral is "bacterial SSU rRNA". It matches the Rfam family "Bacterial small subunit ribosomal RNA", at positions 28 to 514 of the family's 1533-position model. The record is from RNAcentral.